AUGGACAGGAAGAGGGUGGGCAUUGUUGGUGCUGGUGUGAGCGGCCUAGCAGCCUGCAAGCACGCGCUAGACAAGGGGUUCAGCCCGGUGGUAUUCGAGGCCGAUGACACCAUUGGUGGAGUAUGGGCGCAUACCUUGGAGUCGACGAGGCUUCAGGCGCCUACGACUUCGUUCCGUUUCUCAGACCUGGCAUGGCCUGCAAGCGUGACAGCGACGUACCCAGGCCACCAGGAAGUCAUGGAGUACAUCAGGUCGUACGUGUGCGAGUUUGACCUCCUCAAGUGUAUCAAGUUCAGUAGUCAGGUGUUGGGAGUUGAAUACCUUGGUGCAACUGAGGAAGAGAUCAUGGAGUGGGAGCAUUGGUCUGGCAAUGGGACGGCAUUCGGAGCUGGCAAGGAUGGAAGGUGGAGCAUCACAGUGAAGGACCUGAAAAUUGGUCAUGUUGAGGUUUUUCAAGUGGAUUUUCUCAUACUGUGCAUCGGAAGGCAUAGUGGGACCCCAAAUAUCCCGGAAUUUCCAGCUAAUAAAGGGCCCGAGUUGUUCAAGGGGAAAAUAUUGCACUCUAUAGACUACUCUUACAUGGAUAAUGUGGCUGAAUUUGUUAAGGGGAAGAGUGUGACAAUAAUUGGGUCCGGAAAAUCAGCAUUUGACAUCGCUGCGGAGGUUGCUAAGGUGAAUGGUGCUGAUCAGCCAUGCACCAUGAUAUAUAGAACGAGGCACUGGCUGGUUGAUAAAUCCAGCAUAUGGGGAAUUAACCUUAGUUACUUCUAUCUUAACCGCAUCUCGCAAGUACUUGUUCAUAAACCUGGUGAAGGAUUUCUGCACUAUUUAUUGGCUAGUGCACUCUCUCCCUUGAGAUGGGCAAUUACAAAAGUAAUUGAAACCUACUUCAAGCAAAGGAUUCCUCUAGAAAAGCAUGGGAUGGUACCUGACUACAGCUACUCCUUCGCCAUGUCUUCUUGCUUGAUUGCAUUACUCCCAGAAGGGUUUUAUGACAGGGUUGAUGAGGGCAGCAUUAUUCUUAAGAAAUCCAAGAAGUUCAGCUUCUGCAGUAAUGGGAUUAUCAUGGACGAUGGAAAUGAAUGCAUAAACAGUGAUAUUGUAAUUCUAGCAACAGGAUUCAGAGGAGACCAGAAGCUUAGGGACAUCUUCACAGCAAACUGGUGUAGAAAUAUAGUGGUUGGAUCAUCAGAUACAUCAGUUCCUUUAUAUAGAGAAUGCAUCCAUCCUCGGAUUCCUCAGUUGGCAAUAGUCGGAUACUCCGAGAGCCUUACAAACAUAUAUGCCUCGGAGAGGAUGGCCAAUUGGGUAAUCCAUUUCCUAGCUGGCGGCUUCCAGUUGCCAAGCGUAAGAUGCAUGGAAGAGAAUGUAACAGAGUGGGCAAAGUACAAGGAUCUUUACAAUGGAAAGUAUUUCCGCAGAUCUUGCAUAAGCACCGUGAAUAUUUGGUUUAAUGAUCUGUUGUGCCAAGACAUCGGAUGCAACCCUAGAAGGAAGAAAGGAUUCCUGGCUGAAUGGUUCCAGCCAUAUGGACCUGCUGAUUAUGCAGGUAUUUGCUGA
Molecule: ribosomal RNA, 1560 nt
Filed under: Triticum aestivum (bread wheat)
Lineage: Eukaryota; Viridiplantae; Streptophyta; Magnoliopsida; Poales; Poaceae
Description: partial small subunit ribosomal RNA
Source: RNAcentral